CUUGCACUUCGGAAAGAAGGAGCUCUCCUUAGGCUGGGAGGGGCCAAGCCGCUGGCCCGUGAGCCUGGGGCAGCUCUGGACUGUGCUUGCUGUCCUUGAGGAGAAUGCAGCCAGCCCAGGGCAAAUCAGAGCCAGGCAGGAAGUGUUCCCUGUGAACCCAUGAGACUUCAUCCCUGCGUUGGUCUGGCUGGCUUUCCCUGUGAGAUACAGGUUCCUCCUGAAGAGCUGAAGCUCCAUUCCAGCUCUAGACUUCUCCUUGCUUUCAGACUUCAAGAUGAGAAGCAUUUUUCCAGUCCACAAGUGUUAGAGGACACUGCCGAUGAUGUGUGUUUUGCCCAGGCUGGACUCAGCUUCUUUGUCUCGCCUGGCGAAGAGGCAGUGCUGUGCCAGGAAAUAGCACCCAGGCAGGACUCCAGGGUGGGGACCGCUAAUCUGGCUUUGCCACAAAAUGUACACUUGAUAAGAGUAGGGGUCUUGCCUGCCUUAUCCACUGCAUAGCUCCAGUCAAGAGAAGUCAUUGCCACGGAAAAGGCACCCAACAAACAUGCCUUUAACUUGUUGAAUGAACCCAUCAAAUUCCUGAUAGUGGAAGUUUGGACACUGGAGUCGCAGGUGGGGAAAGAAACCAUGAUGCAAUAGGACCCCAAUUACACGUGGGUUCUGCUUAUGUUAGAAAAGCUUCCUGACUUUGUGUGCAGUCAAGUCCUGUGGCUUGUGGCCAAGGGAGGAUCUUUUCUUUUUUACCCAUGGAAGAUGACAUUGGUAUGUUGGAGUAAUGAUCCAGAAGAUAAACAUGAAUACAGACAAAUUCUGAAUUUGGAUUCAAAUAACAAGUUGCACAAAAACAAGGUACUCAGUUAUUUCUGAGUAUUGCUCUGUGCGUGGCACUGUGCUGUACAUUGAGGAUAUGAAGAUGAGUAAGUCUCAGUCUAUAUCUUUAGAGACCUCACAGCCUGGAAAGAGAGUUAAAAAAUAAUUACUAUUCAACAUGGCAAUGGUUAUAAAGGAGCAGAUUUUCCAAACUGGUGUUUCAAGGAACAUUCUUUGGCAGGAUGUUAAAAACAGGAAACAGCAAGCCUGAAAAAGGAAAUUGACGAAGAAACAAUUUGGUUAUUCUUGACUCAGUGGCCAAGGAGGGAACACAGAUGCAAGGAAGACUGGGAAAUGCAGUAUACAGCUGGAGACAUCAUUGCCCUAAAUAAAAAUAGGACUCUUACCAAGAAGGGAGAGGAGAAUGGAUAUUGGGUGGCAUCACAGUCUCUCACACCUGAGCAUCUGAUUCUGUCAGAAGUUAAAUGAUGACCUCUCCUGUGGAUCCCUGGGUUCUUAUGAAGCAUGAGUAUAAUACAAGAUGUCAACAGGUAUUGCAAAGAUACUUAUGGAGCACCCCCAUGUUUGAGGAGCUGUGCGAGGCCUUGGAGUUGAAGCCGUGAGUAGAAAGACAAAGGCUCGGGCUCAGGAGCUUAUAUUCUAGUGAGAAGAGUGACAAUGAAGAUGCAGCUGCCAGGAUCUACCACAACCUGUACAGGAUGUUUUGGGACAGCGACUUGGAGCAGCAUUUGGUGGGAGAGGACGGAAGCUGUGAGACGUCAGCUCUGAGCCCUGAGUCCAGGGCUGGUCCUGUGGAGACAGGGGUUGCUAUGUCAUGAGCAGUGUGUGUGUGAGUAUGAGGUGUGGGAGGAAAGGUAGUAAGAAGCUGAGAAAAUGCCUCAAGCUGACCUCUCCCAAGGGAGUUGGAGCCAUGAGUACCUGGGCACCCUGAGGUGAACACUCCUUGCUCUGUGGGUCUCUAGUAUCUAACAAUAAGACCCCACCUGCACCUAUUGAUACACCUCAGGGUGAGAGGCAAAGAAACAUCACUGGGAAACUACAGACACGCAAUCAGGACUUUUCUCUAAUGUAAAGAGAACUUAGGGUCAGGAUUCAGGGAUCAAAUCUAGCUUCCUUGUUUGGCCUCUCUGAGUCUUUGUCCCUUUGCCUCUAAAACUGAGUAUUUCCUUGCCUUAUCUGAGCUUAUGUAAGGGCUAAAUGGGACAUGCUAUACCAAAAACAAUUUAUGGAGACCCAGUUCACUAUAAGAGUACAAUGCAUUCAUCUUCUUCAUCUUUGUAACUUUCGCUACUCCUUUCUGUUUAAAUUGAAACAGAUCUGGAGGCUUGUUUUCUAGAGGAACAACAAUGAAAAAAACAAGCAACAGGGAAAGUAGUCUUUGGUUAGUGAGUAUUCAGGAAAUUUCGGGGCAAAACAAGGAAGGUGAUUGGAACCCUAAUAAGAUCGCUUCCAGCAUAAGGAUGACAGUGAUGGCAGAGAGGAGACUUCAUACUUGGACAUAGCUUUGUGAGCUCCUAAAGAAGCCCAGCUCAUAGUCUGCCCUUCCAGAUAGCCUGCUGAAGGAACAGUGAAGUUUGGAGCUGAAACAGCUUCCUGAGCAGAAAUCUAGUUCAUUUCCCCAUGCUCAGGAGAGUGGCUUAGAAGCCACCAUCUCUGCCUUUUUUUCCUGUUGCUGUCUGUGGCUGACUGUGGCAGGUGGGAAGCUCUGGGAGCUCCAGCUCUGUCCUCUGUCCUUGCAGACACCCAGGGUGGGUGACCACAGCCUAUGAAGUAAGCCAGUCCUUAAUCCAUGGAGCACAUGCCCAGAUACAGGGACAUGGUGCCAUAAUGGACACUCCAAAAUGCCUACUCCCCAUGGUUGGACCAUGUCCAGAUGACGUUUUUUUUUUUUGUUGUUGUUUGUUUGUUUGUUUGUUUUUGAGACAGAGUUUCACUUUUGUCACCCAGGAUGGAGUGCAAUGGCACGAUCUCGGCUCACUGCAACCUCCAUCUCCCGGGUACAAGCGAUUCUCCUGCCUCAGCCUCCCGGGUAGCUGGGAUUACAGGCACGUGCCACCACGCUGGCUAAUUUUUG
This 2905-nucleotide long non-coding RNA is filed under the name Homo sapiens (human). RNAcentral's name for it is "HSALNT0250079". Lineage: Eukaryota; Metazoa; Chordata; Mammalia; Primates; Hominidae. The record is from RNAcentral.